This 1625-nucleotide long non-coding RNA is filed under the name Homo sapiens (human). RNAcentral describes it as "HSALNT0145109". The record is from RNAcentral. Lineage: Eukaryota; Metazoa; Chordata; Mammalia; Primates; Hominidae.
GGAGACUGCAGCAGCAUAAGCUCCCGCUGACCAAGGCCACUGCCCAGCGACCUGCUCCCACCUAUCUGCCACAAAGGCCAAAGCUCAGCUUCCAAUGUGGCUCGUUCCUGGAGGAGGCCAGCUGACCGCUUGGUGGCAAAUAGGCCACACUGAGCUCCUUCCAUCCUGGAAAGGCCAGCAGCUCACUUGGAGGGGAAGAUAUUCCAAGCCUGGGUUUGCCUUUCCCACCCGCCUACCCAACCUCCACCAGCAACACGGUCUGCGAUCUCCCCUGUGUUUCAUCCCCUGACUCGGGCCCCCUCUGACCAUCACAGCAGAGGAGGUGGGGCAGGCCCACAAGCACAGGCCUCGGGCCAGAUCACACGACACCCACUCGGAAACUGGAGUCAACAGAGAGCCGCAGCUGCUCGUACCGGGCAAGUCUCUGCGGGGUGGGACCCUGUCCCAGGACGCAGGAUUGGCGCUGAGCUCGGGAUCUCUGUGUGCACCUGCAUCGCUGGUAGGAGGACGCCCAGGAACCAAGGAGUGAGGCAGGAGCAGCCCCCGGCAUCAUCACUCCCAGUGACCCAGGAAGGGAUUUGUGCUUUUUUCCCUGCGGCUCUGGGCACUGCAGAGUUAGAGGUCCUGGUCCCCGGGGAUGGAGGGAGGGGGUAUAUCAGCGGGCACAGAGCAUGUCCAGUGACGCACAAACCACGGCUGCCCUCUGGUGCGUCGGGUUCCUUGUGGGGGGAUCACCAGGCAGGAGAGAGCACCACCGUCCUGGCAGGUACAACAGACCCCAGCCAGAGGGUGGAGGCGGGGCCGCGGCUGCACAGGGGGCAUGUGGGGAAUUCAGGUGAUCUGCGUGGACACCUCAUGGUGGCCCUGGCCAGCUGUCACUAAAUGGGCAGCUACGGCAGGCCCCGCUGGACAUGGCAUGGUGGCAGGGUGCCAGAGCCCUCGGUAGGAAGGACUGGGUCACAGCACUAAGUGAACUGCUGUUGUCUGCAGAGACAUAACUGAGGGUGAGGGUCCGGGCUGGGUAAUGGAAGGAGGGGGAAACGGCUCAAGGGGGCUAGCAUGGGCGCAGCAGCCACUGCACUGGGGCCAUGAUCACAGAGUCAUUGCCCAGAAGCAUAGCUCCGGGGCACUGGGCCAUGCUCGUGACUUGGUGAAUGAGUGAAUGGGUGAGUGAAUGAGCUUCACAGAUUUCCACAGUGAAGAGAACCCUUAGAGUGUCUGAUCCGCCCCUCCAUUUGCAAAGCACAGAUCUGGAAACUGGACGGCCCCAAACUGAGUCCAAGUCCUGCAUCUGCCAGUCGUGUGAACUUGGGCAUGAGAACGCCCUUCUCUCUGCAAGAAGAUGCCCGCCCUUACCAAGGUGACUUCCAAGGACUUCAGGAACCUGAAACCUCGUCCUUGAUCGACUCGUGGUGUUGAAGGCCCUGCCAAAGCCAGCCUGGCACUGCUCUCUGGGAUGGAGACGGGAGAUGGCAUUCCGGGUCUAAAUUCUCGUGGGUGGUUCUCAGCUGUCAGGAGGUGCCAGGCUUACCUGCCAGGACCGUGGUUUUCUGUCAUUGUAACUGUGGGAAUGGCUAAGUCCUGUCUAUGACAGUCACACGAAAUAAAGUGUUCUGUGCUCCAGG